UUCUUUCCAGAAUUAAGAGCAGAGAUACCGUUGAGUUGAGCCUACUUUGGAACAUUCAUCUCAAGAUCGAAAGACGCGAAGCAGGAGGAGGAGAGAAAAUAUGAGAUUUUCUCAGAUCCUUGCCAAAGCGACGUCUCAGAGCCGACGGAAAUCAUCUCUGCUACUUCCCUCGCGAUCCUUCUCGCAGGUUCAAUCGCUCUCAGACCGGCCAUCGUUCGGUAUUGCAUUCGACAUCGACGGCGUAAUUCUUCGCGGCAACAUUCCCAUCGGAGGCUCUCCAAGUGCUCUCAGACGAUUAUAUGACGAUUCACUCCGCACUUUGAAAGUCCCCUAUGUUUUCUUGACAAACGGAGGUGGAGUCCCUGAAUCUAAGAGAGCGUUUGAGUUGAGCAAAAUGUUGGGUAUCAAUAUAUUACCUGCACAGGUUUUACAAGGACAUACUCCUUUCAAGCAGCUGCUGAAGAGAUUUGAAAAUGACCUUAUUAUUGCUGUGGGAAAAGGAGAACCUGCUGAGGUGAUGUAUGAAUAUGAUUUCAAAAAUGUACUCUCUAUAGAUGAGUAUGCAUUUUGCUUUGACAAUAUUGAUCCCCUAGCACCAUAUAAGAAGUGGACAACCUCACAUGUUCUUAAACACAACAGCACCAUUAGAAGCAAUGUUUGCUCACAGAGGGUGCAGGCAGCAUUCAUUGUGAGUGAUUCUGUUGAUUGGAGCAGGGAUAUUCAGGUUCUAUGUGACAUAUUAAGAACAGGAGGUCUUCCUGGAAGGGAAAUUGCUCAUCAACCACCUCUGUAUUUUGCACACGAUGACCUUGCAUAUCAGGCUGUGUUUCCAAGUGAACGUUUUGGUAUGGGUGCUUUCCGAAUUGCAUUAGAGUCCAUCUUCAACAGCAUUCACCAUAAUCCUCUGGAGUACACAACUUUUGGGAAGCCAAAUCCACUUGUAUUCAGGAAUGCUGAAACUGUAAUAGCAGAAGUGCUUGCUCUGAGUCGUGACUGUCAGACAGUGAAUCACGUGAUCGGAGAAAGCCAUGUUUUCAAAACCCUCUACAUGAUAGGAGAUAAUCCUUCUGUGGACAUUAAAGGUGCAAGACAGGCCGGACAUCCUUGGUUUUCCAUUCUGACAAGGACGGGGGUUUUCAGAGGAAAGGGAAAUCAUGCAGAGCAUCCAGCAGAUCUGGGUUUGGGGAGGGGCUUUAGGAGAGGGCUGAAAGCAAGAAAUUGUAAGUUUUGACAGUGAAAGAUUUGAAUGGGAAAGGAAACGAAAUGUUGAUCUUAAGACGUGCUUAAUUGAGCUCUUAUACCCAACCUAGUUGCCUAGCUCAAGUGGUUGACACCGUUGAGGAGGCCGUGGAUUAUAUCUUGAGGAAGGAGGGCAUCCUGUGAGUUCCUAGAUAUUUACCAAAGCAACAUCAUUUUGCCAGUUCAACAAAAGCUUCUUUGCUCUUUGCCAAACAUAAAACCACGUCCACAGAUUCUACUGCAUUAUCUGAUACAAACCUGUGCACAAAUCUUGUAACCAAGAUACCCGCACAGUUCUUAAAUCAAACAUCUAACCAACAUCACAACCCGUCCAUAUCCACCAAAGAGAUUGGAUCUGCAAAUCAAAGACAUAUAUCCAUAAAAGAAAUAUUCACAUACAUCCAAUAUCUGUAUGCUAGACAAUAAUAUCCAGGAACCCAAAAUGGAGGUGUCCAACCAUCCACCUUCCCCCCGGGCAACUAGAAGCAACACACCUUCAUUUUUUAGUUCUUAGAUGUUGAUGUCUUAGGUGGUGGUUGUUUAAAUAUUUAAUGUAUGUUAGUUGACUAUUUGCUUUAUGGACACGUGACUUUUAUGUACAUUUUAUAUUCAUGUCUGACAUGUGGAUUUUAUUUCUUUGGUGCUUGUGAAGUUAUGAUGUAUAUUGGAUA
This is an RNA transcript of Diospyros lotus (date-plum), 1910 nucleotides long. RefSeq lists it as uncharacterized. NCBI's taxonomy places the organism in Eukaryota, Viridiplantae, Streptophyta, Magnoliopsida, Ericales, Ebenaceae. The transcript is spliced from 13 exons. The record is from RefSeq and is a predicted model, not a curated record.